CUCCGGUGGCACCUCCUUCCGGUACCCCUGCCCUCGCGCAACAUGGCGGCAGCACAGCCUCUUCCGCCCUUCCCCCACCCCUUCCUGUCCUCUUGCCUCUCCUCCGGUGGCACCUCCUUCCGGUACCCCUGCCCUCGCGCAACAUGGCGGCAGCACAGCCUCUUCCGCCCUUCCGAGCUAGGAGUGCAGAAAAAGGUGAAACUGCCAUGAAAAGGAGAGGAGGAGUGUGUGAGUGAGUGAGUGAGAGUGAGACAGGGAGCAUCCUAGUAGAGAUGGAAGGGGAACCCAAGGGUCAUCUAGUCCAACCCUCUGCAAAGAAGCUCAGAGCUACAAUUCCCAGGUCUUCUUUGGGAAUUCUAUGGGAAGUAAGAGUUUCCAUAUUCAUGAGCAUUCACUUAGAGUGCGCUCAUGUUUUUACCUUUUAUUGAAAGCGGUCACAAGUGACUUGGGUGGAGUAUAAAUAAUAAAAUUAUAUUGCUCCUGCUGCUGUUCUCUUAGCCUAACUCAAAUCCAACCCAAUACCAAACCUUAAUCCUAAUGCUCACCCUAACUCAAACCUAAUCCUCACUCUAACCCUAACCUUAACCCAAACCUAAGCCUCAGUCUAAACCUAAACCUAAUUUAACCCUAACCCUAAGUAAUAAAAUUAUAUUUCUUCUGCUGCUGUUCUUCUCUUACCGUAACUCAACCCCAGCUCUAACUCCUAAUCCUAAUCCAACUCAAACCCAACUCUCACUGUAACCCUAACCUUUACCCAAACCUAAUCCUAAACGCUUUGCUUCUUUUUGUGGUGUUUUGUGUUAUUGCUUCAUUUCGUAGGUUAUGAGGCUUUCUUUGUUUCUUGUGGUGUUGCUUCAUUUAGCAGUUUUUAAUUGGCUUUUGUGUUUCUUUUGGUAUUGCAUCAUCUUCAUAGGUUGUUUGGAUUUCUGAUUAAUUUGCUUUGGAUUUCUGGUAGCUCUGCUUCUUUAUGAUUUGUUUCUGUGUUUCUGGUGUUUUGGCUUGGUUAUGUCAUAAAAUUGAAGAAAUACCACCAGAAGCACAAAAACCAAGAAAUAUUCCCAAAAUGAGGCAAAACCAGGAGACAUGAAAACCAAGCCAAAUCAAUGGAAAAGAAACAAUCUCACCCAAAACCGCAGAACCAUUCAAAGUAAAAGAAGCAAAACAAUUAAAUGCAAAAAAACAAGCAAAACCACCCCAAAUUAAACAAAUCAGCAGAAAACAAAAAGAAGCAGUAAAGCCACCAAUUACAAAGCAAUGCCACAAGAAACUGGAAACCAGUUUUUAAAAAGCAAAACCAGAAACUCAACAAGCAUGCAAUUUAUGGGAGUCCAAAAGCACUUCAAGCAACAGAAAUUAACCAACAUAGCAUACUAGUUUUCACAUAGUCUUGGGUUUCUGGUGAAUGUGCUUCGUUUGCAGCUGGCUUCAUUUCUUUUCCAUUGGUUUAGCUUGUUUUUUGGACUUUUGCCUUAUUGCUUCUUUUGAGAAGUUUUCUUGUUUUUGCAUUCUGGUGGUAAUACUUUUUUUUUUUUAUUAAAUAUUUUAUUAAGGAUUUUCUUGUUUUACAGAAGUAAGUGUACUGCCUCGUAUAUAUAUUUUUUUCAUGUAACAUUUUUACAAAUCCAUUUCAUUUGUUGAGGCAUUAGGGGAGAAGAAAAAAAAGGAAAAAGAAAGGGGGUGGAGAGAGGGAAGAUGGAUGGGGGUGGGGUCGGGUGGCGGUGUUUCUAUUAUGUUUAAUGUAUGUAGAGUUUGGUGUCAGCGUUGCUUGUGUUGUUCACUUGUGUUCCUUUCGUGGUGAGAGAGGUUGGGGUUGGCCUAGGGUGUGAUUGUCUGCUUGUGAUUGGCUGUGGUGAUCUUUGUUUUCGUGUGUGAGUGAGGUGGGUGGGUGUUUUGGAUCAGGUUAGCCAUAUUGAUUUGUAUGCUGUUGGUGGAUUAUUGUCAUUGUCCUGUUGGGCUGUGUAUGUGAUAAAGGGAGCCAUACCAGGGUGAAGACGUCUUCUUCUGUUUGUCCCGUGUCAGUUUCAGUUUAUUAGUUAAUUUUUCUAGUAGGGCUGUUUCCCAUACUAUUUGGUACCAUUGGUCCAUGUUUACUCCUGACAGGUCUCUCCAGUGUCUGGUUAUGGUGUUUCUGGCUGCUGAAAGUAGGUGGGUUAUGAGUUCUUUGUGGUGUAAAUGGGCAUUGUUGUCUUGGAAGAUGUUUAGUAGGGCCAAUUCUGGGGUGAUGUCUAUUACUUGCUUAGUUAUUUUACAUAUUUCUUGUAUGGCUGUUGUCCAGAAUAGUUGGAUUUUGGGACACUCCCACCACAUGUGGAGGUAUGUGCCUGUGGAGGUGCACCCUCUCCAGCAUUUUGGUGAGGUUCCUGGGUGUAUUAGCGCUAGUUUCCUUGGUGUUAGGUACCACCUGUAGGUGAGUUUCAGUGUGAGUUCUUUUCUUUUCGUUGAUAUGGAUUUAAAGGGGGUUUAGACCACAUUCUGGUCCAUUGAGUGGGGUUAAUCUCAUAGCCUAUGUCAUUCUCCCAUUGUUUUUGAUUGCAUCUAGGGGAUUUGCGGGAUUUUGGAGUAGUAUUUUGUAUAUUGCGGAUACCGUCCCUUUACCGUUUCCUUUUGUUGUUAGGAGGAGGUUUUCGAAGGUUGUCAGGGGCCUAGUUGCUGCUGAUUUUACUGUUGGGUUGUUUAAGAGGGCAUGUAGUUGGUGUUGUGUUAACCAGGGCAUUUGGGUGUCUUCUAGUUUGUCUUGUAUUUCUUGUGUUGACAAGGGUUUGUUAUUUUUAUAAAAGUCUAUUAGGCGAUAUAAGCCUUUGGUUUGCCAGGUUUUUAUCUGGAGGUUUUGUGCUGCAUGGUGGAAUAAUGGGUGGUACGCCAGAGGAUUAGUGGGGAUGGGGUUGGGGAUAGUUUGCCUAUUUGUGUUUUCCAUGCUUUGAGCAUGGUCUGUGUGUACCUGUUAAGUGUUGUGGGAAUUUUCUUUAGUUUGUUUGGGAGGAAUGGGUAUGUUGUGGUGCAGGUAUUUUCAAUUGUGUCCCUCUCUAGGUGUACCCAUUGUUUUGUCUCAUCUUCUAGUAUAUAUGGGAUUAUAUGGCGUAUUUGGUUGGCAUUGUAAUAUGCUUCUAUGUUGGGGAUUCCCCAUCCUCCUUCUGAGGUGGGGAGGUGCAGGUAUUUGAGGCUUAUUCUUGGUUUUUAUGUGAGAAGAUGAAAGAGUGUAGUUUUCUCUGCCAACUGCGAAGUUGGGUUGAGGGAUCCAGAUUGGGAGGGUUUGGAAUAGGUAGGUUAGUUUUGGGAGUGUGAUCAUUUUGAUCAUGGCUAUUUUGUCUGAGAGAGUGAAAUUCAUGUUAUUCCAUCUCUUUAGGUCUUUGUUAAUUUGUCGCCACAGGGGCUUGUAGUUGUGGAGGUACAAUUUAUUGAGGUUUCUGGUUAUUUGUACCCCUAGGUAUCUGAACUUGGUGUGGCAAAGUUUUAUUUUGGUGACCUUCGUGAGUUCUUUUUGGGUGUGAGGAGGGGUGUUGAAGCACAUAGCUUCUGACUUUGUAAAAUUUACCUGUAGGCCCGACACCAUUGCAAAUGUGUUGAGUUCUCUGAUUAGGGAGGUUGCUGUGCUUAUGGGGUCUGGUGUUGUGACCAUUAGGUCAUCUGCAAAGAGCCCUAAUUUAUAGGUUCUGCCUUUUAUUUCCACUCCCUUGAUGUCUGUGGCUGCUCGGAUGCUGAUUGCUAAGGGUUCCAGAGCCAGGAUAAAUAAGAAGGGAGACAGUGGGCAUCCUUGUUUCGUGCCUCUUUGGAUAGCUAUAGUAUUAGAAUCCAUAUUGUUAGUUCUGCAUUUUGCUGAGGCUUGGGAGUAUAUUUGUUUGAGAAUUUGUAGGAAGUUGGGGCCAAAUUUCAUGUUAGUUAGUACUGCUAAUAUGUAUUUCCACUCUAAGCAAUCAAAGGCUUUGAGGAUGUCUAGGGACAUAAUUGUCAAUGGGAGUUUGGUUGCCUUGCUGUGUUCGAUCAGGUUCAGUAGUUUCCUGAUGGGGUCUGUUAUAUUGCGGCCAGGGACAAAGCCAGUCUGGUCUGGGGCUACUAACUUGUGUAGGAAGGUUUUUAGGCGGUUGGCCAAGAUUGAUGUGAAUAUCUUGUAGUCUUGGUUUAUUAAUGAGAUUGGGCGGUAUGAUUCUACUUUGAGGCUGUCUUUUAGUGGUUUUGGGAUGGAGACUAUUUUGGAGUGGGUCCAGGUUUUGGGGAUGGGGCCCCCUUUUAUGAUGUCGUUGAAUAGGCGGGUCAUGUAGGGCAUCAAGGGUUCUUUGAAUUUCCUAUAGAAUUCUGCUGUGAAGCCGUCUGGGCCUGGGGCUUUGUGUGGUUUCAGGUUUUUGAGGACCGCAUCUAUUUCCUCUGGGGUGAUAGGGCUGUCCAUGAAUUCCUGUUCCUCAUCAGUUAGGGUAGGCAUGGACAGUCCUGCUAGAAAUUUUUGAUUUCCUUCUCUGGUGGGUUAUGGGAGGUGUAUAGGUUGGAGUAGAAUUCUGCAAAUUCUGAGUUUAUUUCUUCGGGGAGAAUGUUAUGUUGCCGUCUUUUUGGUGAUGCAGUGUAUUCUUGUUUUGAGUGCUUUUUCCUGCAUCUAUUUGCUAGUAAUCUGGAGUUUUCCCUCCAUAUUCGUAGAAACGUUGUUUAGAGUAUAGAAUGUUGAUCAUUGUUUUGUUAAUUUCUAGGGAGUCUAGUUCUCUCCUUUUUUGUUCCAUAAGUUUGAGGAGUUUUUAGAUCCUGUUUGUUUGUAGCGUGAUGAGAGGGCUGUGAUGUCUUGUUCUAUUUUGCUAAUUUUUGAGGAGGUUUGUUUUUUAAGGAAUGUUUUCUCUUUUAUGCAAGCUCCUCUGGUGACCGCUUUCAUUGCGUCCCAUAGGAGGGGUUGUUAUAUUGUUUACAUCGUUUUCCUUGAAGUAGUUUUGGAGGGUUUUUGUGAGACUCUCUCUAAUUUGUUUGUUUGUAGUUAGGAUGGGACUGAAGGACCAUGAUGGGGUGGUUUGUGUUCCUUCUCCUAUUUUAACGAUGACUUCUACUGGGGCGUGAUCUGUGAUUUUAAUGUUACCUAUGUUUGUUGAUUCCACUGAGGGGAUCAGACCCUGUGUGAGUAGAAUGCUGUCCAGUCUGGAUACUGUAUCAUGGCGUCCCGAUUGGAAUGUAUGGCUGAUGUCUCCGGGUUUUGCUCACCCCAAAUGUCGUAGAGACCCCUGCUUUUUAGCAUUUUUAGUAACUUGUAAGGGUUCCUAGUUGUUGGGGGUUUCCUUCGGAGGAAGGUUGCCCAUGGGGUUGUAGGGUGGAUAUCUUUCAGGGCUAUGCCUUUCAUAUUUAGAUUGAGGUCCCCUCCUAGGAUUGCUUCCCCUUCAGAGAAGGAGAGGAAUUUGUUUAGUGUCUUCUGGAAGAAUUCUAAUUGUUUCGUGUUUGGGGCAUAUAUGGAGCCAAUUGUCAGUUUGAUUUUGCCAUCUAGUGUCCCUUUAGCGAAAAUGAAUCUGCCUUUUUGUCCUUGAGGACUGUUGUGGCAGUGAAGUUCAGGUCUCUACUGAGUAUUAUGGCUACACCACGAGCUUUCCCUGAGCCUCGUGCGACCCACUGUUGACUGAAGCGGGGGUCGCUCAGGAGUUUGCUGCCUUUGGGUGGGUUGUGUAUUUCUUGUAGGAAGGUGAUGUGUGGUUUCAUGGUGUUUAUGUAUGAGGUGAUGCGUUUUCUUUUGAUGGGGUUUCCCAGCCCCCUCACGUUUAAUGUAAUUGCUUUUAGGUUAGCCAUCUUGCUUAUCUAUUAUGUGGGGCGAUUCCCUGCCAACCCGUUUGGGUUGUCUUGUAUCUCUCUCUUCGUGUUGUUUAAAGUACCAGUGGGGUUGCGCUGACCUAGGGUGUGGCGGGUGGGGGCUAAUGGGAUUAGAGUAAGAUUUGGGUUAAAGAGUAGGGGUUAAGUUGUAGAGAGUUUCCUAUAUGUAGUCAUAUAGGUGUUUGUUUGGGGUAUUUUAGGCCAUCUGGCAUUUAGCCGGUUGGUCCUAGGUCUCAGCUGGUGUGGAAGGCCGUGUUCAAGGACAGGCCAUCCCCCCUGUUGUUUGCGAUAGGGGGUGAUCAGUGAGACAGUGUGAAGUGACUUUGUAACGUCGCUGUCAGGUAUAAGGUUCGUAAGCAAUGUUGCCAAUGUUAUGAGCAACAUUGUUGGUGUGUUGGGGUGGGGAUGUGGGUGCUGGUACGCUCUGGUGCCACCAUAGUGCUGGUUGGGUAUCAGAUUUUAGCCUGACUGUGGGUUGUGUUAUUAAGGUUGGAGUUGUUUUUUCUUAGUAUGGGGUAUGGGGAUGUUGAAGGUGUGGGUGAUGUGGAAUGUGGUUGAGGUCGUCUGGACUGGUGUUGGGGCGGGGAUUUCUGUGGGGGUGCGGGGCUGGGGGAGGAUGUUGAUGGUGUUAACGAAAUCUAUGUUUUUGGGGGGAGAGGGGGAAAAGGGGGGAAUCACCAGUCCUUCAGUUUGUGGUUUUUCCUGGUUGCUUCAUUCAGCUGGGGUUGUUGUUGUUGUAGGGUUGUCCAUCUGCGAUGAGUUGGUUUGGUUAAUCUUGGUCUGGUUUCUUGUGUCAUAUGGCCGGCGGGACGAUUCUGAGCGUGAUGCUUCUCUGUAUUGGUUUGCACUGUUGUGCCGCUUCUGUUUCUUUUUCUUCUGUACCGUCGUCCAGUUGUUUGCUGUUGUUUCCUCAUGGUUGGGGCUGUCACUUGGUGGGUUUGUCGGUUGCCAUUCCGGUGGGAGGUCGAGUUCAAGGUUCUUUAGUAGUUGCAGGGCCUCAGGUAUGUUGGUAGCCAUGUGUUGUGUUGUAUUGGUUGUUACAAUGAGGCGGAAGGGGAAGCCCCAUCGGUAUUUGAUCCCUGCUUGUUGGAGACGCUGGGUGCAUGGGCGCAAGCUUUUCCUUCGGUUUAGGGUAUCCUGAGAUAAGUCCUGUAAGGCCAGUAUGGGGAUUUCUCCAUAUCGAAGGUUGGUUGAGUUUCUGAGGUGGUACCAUACCUCUUCCUUCUUUUUGUAGCGUGUGAAGCAUACAAUGAUGUCUCUUGGGGGGGCGCUGGGUUUUGGCAUAGGUUUUAGGGCUCUGUGAGCCCUCUCCAAGUCAUCUGCCUCAAGUUUCAGGCUUGGGAUUGUGUUUUUCAGCCAGCGUAUAAUUAGGUCUGCUGGGCUUUUCUCCUCUGUUUUUUCAGGAAAGUUGCGGAAGCGGAUGUUACAACGUCUAUUGCGGUCUUCAAGGUCGGCUUGCUUAAUUUUCAUCUCUCUGUGUUCUGCUUCAAUUUGGUUUACCAGUUCGUCCAGUUUCUUGUUCACACGUGCGUUCUCCUCCCGGUAUUGCUCUAUUAUUCUUUCUUGCAUUUGGUUCUUGUUCUCUAGAGCUUCCACUUUGGAGGUUAGGUUGUUGAUUAGUACCUGCAUGGGAGCCAUUGUGGCCUUCAGUGUUUCUUCUAAUCGUGCUUCUAAUCUUGCUUCCAUUUCCCUCAAAUCUCGUUUCGUUAUUGGGUGGUCAUCAUCUUGAAGGGAGUUACCGUCUUAGCAUUGUUUGUCAUCUCCUGGUUGGUGUCAUCUCAGUCUCCCUGAUGGUUUUGGUUUGAGGUUGGCUUGGCGUCCUCUUGGAGUAGGGCGUGUGGUGGUUAGGAGUUGUGGCAGUGGUGAUUCCUGGGUAUUGUUGGGUUGCUGAGCUGAUCAGGCGUUCUUUCUUGGUGGCUUAAACAGAGCGUUUGAAUUAGGUGGUCAUUUGUGUCACUUCUAGCCUGUGUUUUGAGAACUUCUCUAGGGUUUCUGUAGUUGCCUCAGCGGUGCCGCCAAAGCGGGGGGGGGGGGGCAGGUAAGCAGAGAUGGGUAGACUAACGGGCAGACAGUUCAUAUAAAGGGGGGGGUUAGCAGGUAGAGAUGCAAAAGAUUAGAGGGGUGGGGCCAGGGGAAAUAUGUGUUUAGGAGGGGGUUGUAUAUACCCAAAAGGGGUACUGGGGUCCAGCUAAGGUGGGAGUUGGGGUUGGGAGUGCGCUCAGAAACAGAGACAGACAAAUAGGCUCUAUGUAAAGGGUGGAGGGAGAAAAGGGAAGAAGAAGAAAGAAAGAAGAAGGGGGGGAGGUGGGGGAGAGGGGAGAUUGGAGUAAAAGAGAAGAGAGAGAGAGAGGGACAAAAAGAGAGUUGAAAUAGAGAGGAGAGAUAGUACAGUAAUAUCAGCGGUAUUAGAUUGCAGCAGUAGUUUUAGCUAUAGUAUGAGGGGGGCAAAGUAUGAUAUGGUCUGGUGGUAAUACUUUUGAAUGCUUUGGGGGUUUCUGGUGAAUCUGCUUUGUUUGGGAUUGGUUGGCUUCUUUGUCAGUUUCCAUUGAUGUUGCUUUUACAUGGUUCUUCUGCUUCUUUUCAGUAGGUUUUUGUGUUUUUAGUGGUUGACUUCAUUGUUGGAAUGGUCAUUAGACAUUUCUGGUGGUUUUGCUUCAUUUCUGGUGGUUUUCCUUUUUUUCUUGGGAUUAUCAGAUCUCAUACAAAUUAAUAUUCUCAAAGGUGCAAAACCCAAAAAACCUAGAAAUGAAGCAAACUCACCAUAAAUCCAGCACCCAAUCUGUUAUGUACUAACCUUGGACCCUAGAAUGCAACAACUGAUUGGUCUUUUCCUGCAGGCCAAUCAGGCUCCAAGAGGGAAGCAGAGUUAGCCAGUCAGACGGGACUCAUUGUGUAAAUAAUGUAUAUAAAAGCCUGAGGUUGGGUGGGGCAAUAAAGAGCAUGAAAUACAUACAAGACUCUGAGUAUAUUUCACAAUCGUAAUUUAUAUAAAAGAAUCUAUGAAACGAAAACCACAGAAAAAAUUCAACAUAAUCCCCAAAACAAACCAGAAACAACAGAAACAAACCACAUCCACCAAAGAUGAGAAAACCAAUUGAAUAGAACCACAAGAAACCCACGCAGUAAACAUCUCAGGGAAAGGCGAAAUCACCCCCACACCAUGCAAAACUAAGGUUUAACUGGCUUUGGGGUUUCUGCGCAAUUUACCUUUUCCCUCUUGUUGGGGGUUUCUGGUGGUAUUUCUUCUGCUUCUCACAUUUCUGCUUCUUUUCAAUUGGUUUUGGGAUUCUGGUGAAUUUGGAUAUGAUUUGAUUGAAGUCUCUGUCUGGCAAUUUUCCUUUUUCAUGAAUUCCUUCCUUGUUGGGUUUCUGGUAUCUCACUUUUGGUUUUCACAUUUCUCUUAGUUUUGCUACGUUUCAGGUAGUUUGCUUAUUUUUGGAAUUAUCCAGUCUCAUAAAAAUGAAGCAAUAUCAUUAGAAGCUUAAAAAGCAUGAAAAAAACCCCAGGCACUAACCCUAACCCUGAACAUCCACCUAUCCCCUGCCCUAACCCUGAUAUUCUGGUCAUCCAUCUUGGGGAUAACAAUCUGGUGAGGUAAAUUCAGUUGAGAUCACUAAAUAUCUCCAUCAGCUGUGCUUCCUCAUCCCUGAGCUUAUCAUAGUUUGGUUUGGAAUGUUGUAGAGGUGCUUAUGGAGUGGGGGCAGCCUUCCUAAGAAGGUGGAUGGGCAAGACAUAAAGCUAAUCAUUCUACAACGACGUUUGUGUUUGAAAAUGUGGCUGCUUAUAUCCCUCAUGGCAGAAUUAUGUUCUGUGCCCCACAGUUGUAUAGACCUGGUGGUAUGCAUCUUUCUGAUUUGGGUUGUGACAUGAUUCUUAAGGAUCUGCAAAGAGCUCUGUUUGAGCACUUGUGUGUUUGUGGGUGGAGGUGAACAAGCACACCUGCCCAGACUUAAUUUGAUUUGGUUACAUUGGUCGAAUCUGACUAGUUUUGCCGAUCCUCAAGUUGUUAUAUUUAAUAAAUACAACCUAUUUAUCCACUUUUGGUUGUCUUGACUCUUCCUCCUGAUGUGCUAGGAACCACUCUGUUUGGGGGGCACUGCAAAACAUGCGGUUUUUACUGCAAACAUUUUGCCAGACUUUGGCCUUGAUUUGGAGUGAAUCAGACGAUGUUGGGUUUUGGGGUGACCUUAUGACCCCUGUCAGUUACUUGGUUUGUCGGGCAAAAUGCUACAAAAAUGCUACAAUGUCUGGCAAAAUGCUACAAAACUUUUGCCAGACUUUGGCACCAGUUUGGAGUGAAUCGGACAAUGUUGGGUUUUGGAUAUUAAUUAUGAACCCCGGUUUGAUGUAUCAAUUACUGUGUUUAUGGGGUGUUACAAAAUGUGGGGGUUUUGCUGCAAAACUUUUGCCAAACAUCAGUUUUGAUGGGAUCCCAGAUUUGGGGGUUUGUAGUUAAAUGAAGCAUUCUUUCAGUGCUUCUCGGGAAAUGUGCAGUUUCUGUCAGAUCAAACUAAUACUACUGGAUAAAAUUAUAUGGUUGUUGAUUAUCAGACAGUUCUCCCAUUUAUCAAGGAAAACGUCUGUUAUGGGUGGCUUUUGCUUGGUGUGUGUGACUGUUGACAGACAGAUUUGAAAAGGAACACAGCUUCCUCUGUAUGUCUCACAGUAACUUACUGGCCUUUUUGAUUAUGCAGUCGGCUCACCCAACACUUCCAGCUGGAUUCCGAGGACAGGAAAUGAUUCUGCUAAAGGCUUUCUGUGAAUAUACCGGUAAUUCCAGUUGAUUUGUUUUAAUGGUCACAUAAAGGCACUUUCUUUGGUUAUAAAAUGAUGUUGUGAGUCUUAUAUCUGAGCAGUCAAUAAACUCCCUCCCCCACAGAAACGCUUGUCUUACUUCUUCUUCUUGGCAUCCAUACUUACAUGUUUGUUUAAAGAAAGACUAACCCCACCCCGAACCCCAC
Molecule: non-coding RNA, 10724 nt
Organism: Podarcis lilfordi (Lilford's wall lizard)
Lineage: Eukaryota; Metazoa; Chordata; Lepidosauria; Squamata; Lacertidae
Source: the annotation of a GenBank genome assembly